RNAcentral lists this ribosomal RNA (469 nucleotides) under uncultured Alphaproteobacteria bacterium. RNAcentral's name for it is "bacterial SSU rRNA". It matches the Rfam family "Bacterial small subunit ribosomal RNA", at positions 9 to 524 of the family's 1533-position model. The record is from RNAcentral. Lineage: Bacteria; Pseudomonadati; Pseudomonadota; Alphaproteobacteria.
GAGUUUGAUCGUGGCUCAGAGCGAACGCUGGCGGCAGGCUUAACACAUGCAAGUCGAACGGACCCUUCGGGGUUAGUGGCGGACGGGUGAGUAACACGUGGGAACGUGCCUUUAGGUUCGGAACAACACAGGGAAACUUGUGCUAAUACCGGAUGUGCCCUUCGGGAGAAAGAUUUAUCGCCUUUAGAGCGGCCCGCGUCUGAUUAGCUAGUUGGUGGGGUAAAGGCCUACCAAGGCGACGAUCAGUAGCUGGUCUGAGAGGAUGGCCAGCCACAUUGGGACUGAGACACGGCCCAAACUCCUACGGGAGGCAGCAGUGGGGAAUCUUGCGCAAUGGGCGAAAGCCUGACGCAGCCAUGCCGCGUGGAUGAUGAAGGUCUUAGGAUUGUAAAAUCCUUUCACCGGGGACGAUAAUGACGGUACCCGGAGAAGAAGCCCCGGCUAACUUCGUGCCAGCAGCCGCAGUAAU